AUUGAACGCUGGCGGCAGGCCUAACACAUGCAAGUCGAACGAGUGGCGGACGGGUGAGUAAUGUCUGGGAAACUGCCCAAUGGAGGGGGAAACCUCCUGUAAACGUUAGCUAAAACGGCUUAACAUUGGAUGUGCCCAGAUGGGAUUAGAUAGGAGGUGGGGUAACGGCUCACCUAGGCGACGAUCCCUAGCUGGUCUGAGAGGAUGACCAGCCACACUGGAACUGAGACACGGUCCAGACUCCUACGGGAGGCAGCAGUGGGGAAUAUUGCACAAUGGGCGCAAGCCUGAUGCAGCCAUGCCGCGUGUAUGAAGAAGGCCUUCGGGUUGUAAAGUACUUUCAGCGAGGAGGCGUUACUCGCAGAAGAAGCAUCGGCUAACUCCGUGCCAGCAGCCGCGGUAAUUC
RNAcentral lists this ribosomal RNA (406 nucleotides) under uncultured bacterium. Its description in RNAcentral is "partial 16S ribosomal RNA". It matches the Rfam family "Bacterial small subunit ribosomal RNA", at positions 30 to 526 of the family's 1533-position model. The record is from RNAcentral.